Molecule: long non-coding RNA, 1580 nt
Organism: Raphanus sativus (radish)
Lineage: Eukaryota; Viridiplantae; Streptophyta; Magnoliopsida; Brassicales; Brassicaceae
Exons: 5
Source: RefSeq, a predicted model, not a curated record
UCAACACUAGCACGUUCUAAUCAAUACUAUACUAAAAGCUAAAUAAACUUCAUAGAUAGAGUGUCCACGUCACUCUUUUAAUUCCAACCAAUGGGAGCUCAGCAUACAUCCACGUCACAACUUAUCUGCCUCUGAUGGGCUUGAACCGAACUCGGUCUCUGGGCUUCGAAACCGUGGUGUGGCUGCCAGCCCGUAAGCCCAAAGUAAUGCUCACAUCACUUUCCUUGCGUAAACCCUAAGGGCCGAAUGGGAUUGUCGAGACCGCUCCUGUUCAUCUUCCUCUUCCUUCUGUUUGCGAUGCAGACUUCCGUGUAAUCAAUUUUCCCCCACGUCUUCGCACUCUUCAAUCCCCCAUUAACCCCAUUAAUGGGGUCCGUUGGCUUCCUCUUCGGGUCUUCUAUAAAACCUGCACUUCACGACAAUGGAUUUACAUCCAAACUUCAUUUUCCUCUCUCCAAUCUCAAUCGCUCCUUUUCCUCUCUCCAAUCUCAAUCGCGAUGAAGAUUACCGGUUCAAGCGACCCUGUGAACUCGAAAUGCGAAGCGGCGGCCCUCUCUGCUCCGGUCAAAACCGGUGACCAAUCCGGCGUCGUCCCCUCGGUGAAGCAAGCGAUCUCGGCGGUUGUCUCCGCCGGUCCGGUAAACCCAGCCGUCAACUCCGGUGGCGGUUCCGGCGAUGUGAAUUCGGUGAAGCCAAACAAAGGUGCGCCGGUCUCUUCCAGUCCAGGCAAACAGGUCGUGAAGACCGGAGCUUCUUCGGGUGUAAGAAUCGGCGUGAGGCACAAAACAUCUGUCUCCGUCGGUGAUAAGACUGGUUGAGUUCUAACCAAGAGAUUUCUAAGCGGGUUAAUGCAGAUGAUGUUACAAAGGCUGAGACAAUUACAAUUGGGCAAAUAUUUUACAACAUCAAGCAUGAAUAUGCUUUAGAUAACUCUGUAAAAUCCAUGUCUAUUGCAUGGUAUUAUAUUGCCUGCAACAGUUGUCAAAGUAAGGCCACCAAAGGCCCUUUUCUGUUGAUGUGCGCCAAGUGUGGCAACGCUAACCUUGCUGGUGUAGCAAAAUAGCUACGAUAGUAGUGACCAGGCUGUUUUCUUCCUACUUGGUGAACCAGGACCUGAGUUGACUGAGAAGAAUGCUGCGGAAUUGUUUGACCACUACUUUGAGGCUAAUUUGGUGCUGGCCAUGAGAUGUCUCGCCCCCCCCCCCCCCACCCCCCACCCAAGCUUUUGAUCGACACUUGGACAAACAGACCUCAACUCAACAGGCAAGAUAACUGUUACUAAGAUUGUCUCACCAGAAGUUCUAUCACCUGUACCAACUCCAACUGAAAUCCCACUUGAUGAAGAUGAUGAAGUUGAUGUGCCUUCUGCAAAUGUCGUUGCUGGCUCUGGAUCUAUUGAUGAUUAGGAAAAUGAAAGUACAAGUAACAGGGAUGAUUCACAGAAGGCUGACCGUCCUAAACAUGGAAACUAGAGGUUAAACAACUCAUUCCAUACGAUGCAGGGUCAUGGUCUUUUUAUUUCCUUUGCAGCCACAAUUAAGCUUUUUUAAUUAUAAACUUCCGAUCUUGCUUUGAUUUAA